This 549-nucleotide long non-coding RNA is filed under the name Musa acuminata (dwarf banana). RNAcentral describes it as "long non-coding RNA (MACU_LNC010292)". The record is from RNAcentral. Lineage: Eukaryota; Viridiplantae; Streptophyta; Magnoliopsida; Zingiberales; Musaceae.
GCAUUUGAACUUUUCCCUUGGUGGAACCUAGCCCCCAUAUGCUGAUGACCAAGGUUUUCAUCCGAUGCAAAAUUCGAUGCACGCACGGAAGACCCGCCUCUACGGUACCAUGGCCUUCACUCCUUGAAUCCAUAGCCCUUCUUGCCGUCGUGUUGUUCACCGAAGUGGAGCUUCCAGUAGCUCCCGAUCAUACCUCCAUAUGAUCUAGUCCCUCCCGGGACUCUGUCGUGUGUAUCGCAUUAUCACGAACUGUUCCACCACGAUCCGCUGCACCAUGCCGCCUCCUAGUGACAUCUCCAUUGCAUUCUGAUCCUUGUGGAAUAAACUCGAAUUGUGAACCCUCCAUGUGUGACCUCUGCCAAUACAUUGCAGGGUCUCUUCCACCUUCGAUUUUGUUCGCUCCUUUGGCAAUCGACAUUCAUCCACCCACUCUUGGGUCACACCUAGAUGAAGCACCGCUCUAGGACAGUCCGUCGCCUAGUAGCUCCCGAAGUCCACCGACUUCACUGUAAUUUGUGCACCAUUGUCUAGAUCCUGGGCCUCUGCCCC